Molecule: ribosomal RNA, 1455 nt
Filed under: uncultured bacterium
Lineage: Bacteria
Description: bacterial SSU rRNA
Rfam family: Bacterial small subunit ribosomal RNA
Source: RNAcentral
GUUUGAUCAUGGCUCAGGAUGAACGCUGGCGGUCUGCUUAACACAUGCAAGUCGAACGGGGGUAGAAAUACCCUAGUGGCGGACGGGUGAGUAACACGUGAGAAUCUAGCUUCAGGUUCGGGACAACAGAGGGAAACCGCUGCUAAUACCGGAUAUGCCAUUUUUUAAAUGGUGAAAGAUUAAUUGCCUGAAGAUGAGCUCGCGGCCGAUUAGCUAGUUGGUGGGGUAAGAGCGUACCAAGGCGACGAUCGGUAGCUGGUCUGAGAGGACGAUCAGCCACACUGGGACUGAGACACGGCCCAGACUCCUACGGGAGGCAGCAGUGGGGAAUUUUCCGCAAUGGGCGAAAGCCUGACGGAGCAAGACCGCGUGAGGGAGGAAGGCUCUUGGGUUGUAAACCUCUUUUCUCAGGGAAUAAGAUCUGAAGGUACCUGAGGAAUCAGCAUCGGCUAACUCCGUGCCAGCAGCCGCGGUAAUACGGAGGAUGCAAGCGUUAUCCGGAAUCAUUGGGCGUAAAGCGUCCGCAGGUGGCAAUUCAAGUCUGCCGUCAAAUCCAGUGGCUCAACUACUGACAGGCGGUGGAAACUGAAUAGCUAGAGUGCGGUAGGGGUAGAGGGAAUUCCCGGUGUAGCGGUGAAAUGCGUAGAGAUCGGGAAGAACACCAGUGGCGAAAGCGCUCUGCUGGACCUGCACUGACACUGAGGGACGAAAGCUAGGGGAGCGAAUGGGAUUAGAUACCCCAGUAGUCCUAGCCGUAAACGAUGGAUACUAGGUGUGGCUCGUAUCGACCCGAGCCGUGCCGCAGCUAACGCGUUAAGUAUCCCGCCUGGGGAGUACGCACGCAAGUGUGAAACUCAAAGGAAUUGACGGGGGCCCGCACAAGCGGUGGAGUAUGUGGUUUAAUUCGAUGCAACGCGAAGAACCUUACCAGGGCUUGACAUGUCGCGAAUCUUCUGGAAACAGAAGAGUGCCUUCGGGAGCGCGAACACAGGUGGUGCAUGGCUGUCGUCAGCUCGUGUCGUGAGAUGUUGGGUUAAGUCCCGCAACGAGCGCAACCCUCGUUUUUAGUUGCCAAUAUUAAGUUAGGCACUCUAAAGAGACUGCCGGUGACAAACCGGAGGAAGGUGGGGAUGACGUCAAGUCAGCAUGCCCCUUACGUCCUGGGCUACACACGUACUACAAUGCUUUAGACAAAGGGCAGCCAAGCCGCGAGGCCGAGCUAAUCCCAUAAACUAAGGCACAGUUCAGAUCGCAGGCUGCAACUCGCCUGCGUGAAGGCGGAAUCGCUAGUAAUCGCAGGUCAGCAUGCUGCGGUGAAUACGUUCCCGGGCCUUGUACACACCGCCCGUCACACCAUGGGAGUUGGCCACGCCCGAAGUCGUUACUCCAACCCGCAAGGGAGGAGGACGCCGAAGGUGGGGCUGAUGACUGGGGUGAAGUCGUAACAAGGUAACC